This 449-nucleotide ribosomal RNA is filed under the name uncultured bacterium. Its description in RNAcentral is "bacterial SSU rRNA". It matches the Rfam family "Bacterial small subunit ribosomal RNA", at positions 354 to 796 of the family's 1533-position model. The record is from RNAcentral.
GUCGAGAAUUUUUCACAAUGGGCGCAAGCCUGAUGGAGCGACGCCGCGUGGGGGAUGAAGGGCUUCGGCUCGUAAACCCCUGUCAUUCGCGAACAAAGACGCCGGCCUAACACGUCGUCGUCUGAUAGUAGCGGAAGAGGAAGGGACGGCUAACUCUGUGCCAGCAGCCGCGGUAAUACAGAGGUCCCAAGCGUUGUUCGGAUUUACUGGGCGUAAAGGGUGCGUAGGUGGCGGACUAAGUCGGGUGUGAAAUCUCCGGGCUCAACCCGGAGACUGCGCCCGAUACUGGUUUGCUCGAGGAUGGGAGGGGAGACUGGAAUUCUCGGUGUAGCAGUGAAAUGCGUAGAUAUCGAGAGGAACACCGGUGGCGAAGGCGAGUCUCUGGACCAUUCCUGACACUGAGGCACGAAAGCCGGGGGAGCAAACAGGAUUAGAAACCCUAGUAGUCC